RNAcentral lists this ribosomal RNA (391 nucleotides) under Escherichia coli. RNAcentral describes it as "bacterial SSU rRNA". It matches the Rfam family "Bacterial small subunit ribosomal RNA", at positions 194 to 580 of the family's 1533-position model. Lineage: Bacteria; Pseudomonadati; Pseudomonadota; Gammaproteobacteria; Enterobacterales; Enterobacteriaceae. The record is from RNAcentral.
GGGGGACCUUCGGGCCUCUUGCCAUCGGAUGUGCCCAGAUGGGAUUAGCUAGUAGGUGGGGUAACGGCUCACCUAGGCGACGAUCCCUAGCUGGUCUGAGAGGAUGACCAGCCACACUGGAACUGAGACACGGUCCAGACUCCUACGGGAGGCAGCAGUGGGGAAUAUUGCACAAUGGGCGCAAGCCUGAUGCAGCCAUGCCGCGUGUAUGAAGAAGGCCUUCGGGUUGUAAAGUACUUUCAGCGGGGAGGAAGGGAGUAAAGUUAAUACCUUUGCUCAUUGACGUUACCCGCACAAGAAGCUCCGGCUACCUUAUGCCCAGCAGCCGCCGUAAUCAGGAGGGAGCAAGCGUUAAUCGGAAUUACUGCGCGUAAAGCGCACGCAGCGGGUA